Molecule: unclassified non-coding RNA, 339 nt
Filed under: soil metagenome
Description: partial contains 5.8S ribosomal RNA, internal transcribed spacer 2, and large subunit ribosomal RNA
Rfam family: 5.8S ribosomal RNA (bases 1-120)
Source: RNAcentral
GAUGAAGAACGUAGCGAAAUGCGAUAAGUAAUGUGAAUUGCAGAAUUCAGUGAAUCAUCGAAUCUUUGAACGCACAUUGCGCCCGCCAGUAUUCUGGCGGGCAUGCCUGUCCGAGCGUCAUUUCAACCAUCAAGCCCCCGGGCUUGUGUUGGGGACCUGCGGCUGCCCGCAGGCCCUGAAAACCAGUGGCGGGCUCGCUGUCACACCGAGCGUAGUAGCAAUCACCUCGCUCAGGGCGUGCUGCGGGUUCCGGCCGUUAAACAGCCGUACAAAACCCAAGGUUGACCUCGGAUCAGGUAGGAAGACCCGCUGAACUUAAGCAUAUCAAUAAGCGGAGGA